Molecule: ribosomal RNA, 540 nt
Filed under: uncultured archaeon
Lineage: Archaea
Description: bacterial SSU rRNA
Rfam family: Archaeal small subunit ribosomal RNA
Source: RNAcentral
AGCCGCCGCGGGUAACACCGGCGGCCCGAGUGGUGAUCGUGAUUAUUGGGUCUAAAGGGUCCGUAGCCGGUUUGGUCAGUCCUCCGGGAAAUCUGAUAGCUCAACUAUUAGGCUUUCGGGGGAUACUGCCAGACUUGGAACCGGGAGAGGUAAGAGGUACUACAGGGGUAGGAGUGAAAUCUUGUAAUCCCUGUGGGACCACCUGUGGCGAAGGCGUCUUACCAGAACGGGUUCGACGGUGAGGGACGAAAGCUGGGGGCACGAACCGGAUUAGAUACCCGGGUAGUCCCAGCCGUAAACGAUGCUCGCUAGGUGUCAGGCAUGGCGCGACCGUGUCUGGUGCCGCAGGGAAGCCGUGAAGCGAGCCACCUGGGAAGUACGGCCGCAAGGCUGAAACUUAAAGGAAUUGGCGGGGGAGCACAACAACGGGUGGAAGCCUGCGGUUUAAUUGGACUCAACGCCGGACAACUCACCGGGGGCGACAGCAAUAUGUAGGCCAAGCUGAAGACUUUGCCGGAAUCGCUGAGAAGUGGUGCAUGG